This 741-nucleotide unclassified non-coding RNA is filed under the name Hevea brasiliensis (rubber tree). The record is from RNAcentral. Lineage: Eukaryota; Viridiplantae; Streptophyta; Magnoliopsida; Malpighiales; Euphorbiaceae.
ACCCUAAAAAAAACACCCCCUCUACUAGCCACAAGUCUGUCUUAAAAACUGCAUGAAUCCAGUCUUCAAAAUCAGUCCAAAAUGAGAUAUAAUCAAUCUCAGAGGAUCGACAAACCCGAAUAGAAGCUUCUUAAGGUCCGAUCAGAAAGAAAGCCAGCAAUGAUACCUGGUGUGGAUCUUGCGAUGGCAACAGCAGAAUGCAGCUUCGUCAAGGAGGAGAGAAGCUUGAGCUUCUCUGCUACCGUUGUAAGGAGGAAGCACAGCAAAAGUAUAGUGACUAAGCUGGUGACGAAUCAGAUAACAAUUACCAGUGACCUGAUUUCGUGACCAAUCUGAGAUUACGACGGCAAAAACAAGCUAAAAUGGUUUUGUAUGCGUCAGGGAAGAGAUACGGCAGCAGGGCAGUAAUAAACAGCAUCCAAAUUGGGACUUCGGAAAUGGGUUUCGUAACAAAUAAUCUUGCCGUGGCCGGAAAAAUGGAUGAGGAGGUGUUUGGGUUCUGUAAUGAUCGGAGAUUAAGGGAGAAAAGGAAAUGGGACUUGGGUCUCUUGAGAUAGAUGAAAGAUAGCUAAUGUGUGGUUCUCUAGCGAUGGAUUUUACAGGAGACGAUCUCACCGUUGGUGAAAAAACUGGCCGGCGAAAGAGAAGAAUCAGCUGGAUCUACGAUCUAAUGUAGGGUUUCAGGUGGAGAGGAUGGGAGGAGAGGAAAGGUCUCUCUUGGACGUCGGCUGCUGUUGUGGC